GUGCUCACUUUGGCAGUACAUAUACUAAAAUUGAAACGAUAUAGAGAAGAUUAGCACGGGCCCAGCACAAGGAUGACACACUAAUUCAUGAAGUAUUCCAUAUUUUU
This is a small nuclear RNA of Perognathus longimembris pacificus (Pacific pocket mouse), 107 nucleotides long. The record is from RefSeq and is a predicted model, not a curated record. NCBI's taxonomy places the organism in Eukaryota, Metazoa, Chordata, Mammalia, Rodentia, Heteromyidae.